GCCGAUGUGGUGGAAUUGGUAGACACGCUAUCUUGAGGGGGUAGUGAGCCUAGCUCGUGCGAGUUCGACUCUCGCCAUCGGCACCA
This 86-nucleotide transfer RNA is filed under the name Dichelobacter nodosus. Its description in RNAcentral is "tRNA-Leu(gag)". It matches the Rfam family "tRNA". From Rfam's summary of the family: Transfer RNA (tRNA) molecules are approximately 80 nucleotides in length. Their secondary structure includes four short double-helical elements and three loops (D, anti-codon, and T loops). RNAcentral also lists the same sequence under 1 other name. Lineage: Bacteria; Pseudomonadati; Pseudomonadota; Gammaproteobacteria; Cardiobacteriales; Cardiobacteriaceae. The record is from RNAcentral.